NNUUAGCAUGGCCCCUGCGCAAGGACGACAUGCAAAUUUGUGAAGCGUUCUGUUUUGUU
Molecule: small nuclear RNA, 59 nt
Filed under: Ochotona princeps (American pika)
Lineage: Eukaryota; Metazoa; Chordata; Mammalia; Lagomorpha; Ochotonidae
Source: RNAcentral